Pocillopora damicornis (cauliflower coral) is the source of this 273-nucleotide long non-coding RNA. NCBI's taxonomy places the organism in Eukaryota, Metazoa, Cnidaria, Anthozoa, Scleractinia, Pocilloporidae. The record is from RefSeq and is a predicted model, not a curated record.
UCUUUGAGCAAGUUGCUCUGAAUGUUACAGAAAAUAGAUGUGACUUUCUGGAUAACAACUACCGUCUUCUUCACGACAAUGAGACGAACCUUUACUGGCAGAAGUCAUCCUGUCAAACAAACCUGGAGGCCUUGAAAAAGAAACAGGAGGCCAUUCAGUUCAGUCGAUUCAAAGACGAGAAUCCGCUGGAACAGUGGGUCGUCUGCUCGCUUCCAAAUCUUUACUUCGGAAGAGUUGAAACCCUAUCAUCAUGGCAUUAGUGUUCUCUUAGUU